CAGGAAGUAGUUUAAUGAGAAUGCUGGCUUUGGGUGUCAGUGGUGGAGUUUAGUCUUUCUUCCUGA
RNAcentral lists this transfer RNA (66 nucleotides) under Procavia capensis (Cape rock hyrax). Its description in RNAcentral is "tRNA-Pro". Lineage: Eukaryota; Metazoa; Chordata; Mammalia; Hyracoidea; Procaviidae. The record is from RNAcentral.